Charadrius vociferus (killdeer) is the source of this 361-nucleotide long non-coding RNA. RefSeq lists it as uncharacterized. The transcript has 3 exons. The record is from RefSeq and is a predicted model, not a curated record. Lineage: Eukaryota; Metazoa; Chordata; Aves; Charadriiformes; Charadriidae.
AGGUAGUCAAGCCACAUAUUCCAUUAAUUAAGUUCCCAGACAGAAAAAGUAGUCCCAGACCUAAAAUACAGGAAUCUCUACAAGCAAGUAUGCCGUCUCUUAAUGCUUCAAAAGCACAGGAGUAUGUAGGAGGCAGACCACCAGCAUUUCAAAAUAUUUCACCUGUUAGUAGAGUACAAGGUAUACCAGACACUUCUGAAUUAGCAAGAACCUUACCUCAGAAAUACAGAAGGAAACUUAUGUCAGAUGAAGAGAUUGAAUAUAUUCAACGUGGAGGUCCAGAAUAAGUAUGGAAGAUUUUGUUUGCCACUGUUGAAGAAUGAAGUAUUGUAUUCACAAUAAAGGCAUUUCCUUAAUAUUA